GAGAGCGGCGAACGGGUGAGUAACGCGUACACGACCUACCUUUGACUGGGGGAUAGCCCUGGGAAACUGGGAUUAAUACCGCAUAUUAUUCUGAUUAAUAAAGAAUUGGAAUGAAAGUUCAGGCGGUCAAAGAUGGGUGUGCGUCUGAUUAGCUAGUUGGUAGGGUAACGGCCUACCAAGGCGAUGAUCAGCAGGGGGCGUGAGAGCGUGAUCCCCCACACGGGUACUGAGACACGGACCCG
Molecule: ribosomal RNA, 242 nt
Filed under: uncultured bacterium
Lineage: Bacteria
Description: partial 16S ribosomal RNA
Rfam family: Bacterial small subunit ribosomal RNA
Source: RNAcentral